RNAcentral lists this long non-coding RNA (355 nucleotides) under Jatropha curcas. RNAcentral's name for it is "long non-coding RNA (JCUR_LNC001991)". Lineage: Eukaryota; Viridiplantae; Streptophyta; Magnoliopsida; Malpighiales; Euphorbiaceae. The record is from RNAcentral.
UUUUACUUUUUACUAUUAUUGAUUGAAGAAUAUCAUCAUUGCUAUCUUUACUUGAAACAAGGGAAGAUGAUGAUGUUGACGAAGAUGAGGACGCCAUGUCUGCCCAUUUGGCUUUGCCUUUAAGACUGGGUUUGGAUGACGAUUUAUCUGAAGAACCUGCUGGCGGUUUACUUGAGGAGGUUUUUACUGGAGAAUCUGUGGAAAGUUGCUGGAACAUUUCCUGGCAAAUUCUUUUAUACUCAUCAGGUGUUUUAGCCGCUGCUAACCUGGCUUGACACUGUGCUUUUUGGAUUCCAAAUGUAGGUUGAUCCUUUAAAGCAAGAGUUGUAGCAUAGGUUAAUGCAGGUGUACCAGA